Molecule: ribosomal RNA, 253 nt
Filed under: uncultured bacterium
Lineage: Bacteria
Description: partial 16S ribosomal RNA
Rfam family: Bacterial small subunit ribosomal RNA
Source: RNAcentral
UACGUAGGGGGCAAGCGUUGUCCGGAAUCAUUGGGCGUAAAGAGCGUGUAGGCGGCCAGAUAAGUCCGCUGUGAAAUCUCGAGGCUCAACUUCGAGCUGUCGGUGGAAACUGUCUGGCUAGAGUCCGGAAGAGGAGAAUGGAAUUCCCGGUGUAGCGGUGGAAUGCGCAGAUAUCAGGAGGAACACCAAUAGCGAAGGCAGCUCGCUGGGACGGUACUGACGCUAAGGCGCGAAAGCGUGGGGAGCGAACAGG